GACGAACGCUGGCGGCGUGCCUAAUACACGCAAGUAGAACGCUGAAGCGAGGAGCUUGCUCUUCUUGGAUGAGUUGCGAACGGGUGAGUAACGCGUAGGUAACCUGCCUUGUAGCGGGGGAUAACUAUUGGAAACGAUAGCUAAUACCGCAUAACAAUGGAUGACACAUGUCAUUUAUUUGAAAGGGGCAAUUGCUCCACUACAAGAUGGACCUGCGUUGUAUUAGCUAGUAGGUGAGGUAAUGGCUCACCUAGGCGACGAUACAUAGCCGACCUGAGAGGGUGAUCGGCCACACUGGGACUGAGACACGGCCCAGGCUCCUACGGGAGGCAGCAGUAGGGAAUCUUCGGCAAUGGGGGCAACCCUGACCGAGCAACGCCGCGUGAGGGAAGAAGGUUGUCGGAUCGUAAAGCUCUGUUGUAAGUCAAGAACGGGUGUGAGAGUGGAAAGUUCACACUGUGACGGUAGCUUACCAGAAAGGGACGGCUAACUACGUG
RNAcentral lists this ribosomal RNA (497 nucleotides) under uncultured bacterium. RNAcentral's name for it is "partial 16S ribosomal RNA". It matches the Rfam family "Bacterial small subunit ribosomal RNA", at positions 28 to 507 of the family's 1533-position model. The record is from RNAcentral.